RNAcentral lists this ribosomal RNA (684 nucleotides) under uncultured Lachnospiraceae bacterium. RNAcentral's name for it is "bacterial SSU rRNA". It matches the Rfam family "Bacterial small subunit ribosomal RNA", at positions 63 to 749 of the family's 1533-position model. The record is from RNAcentral. Lineage: Bacteria; Bacillati; Bacillota; Clostridia; Lachnospirales; Lachnospiraceae.
CGAACGAAGCAAUAAGAUGAAGUUUUCGGAUGGAAUCUUGAUUGACUGAGUGGCGGACGGGUGAGUAACGCGUGGAUAACCUGCCUCACACUGGGGGAUAACAGUUAGAAAUGACUGCUAAUACCGCAUAAGCGCACAGUGCCGCAUGGCAGUGUGUGAAAAACUCCGGUGGUGUGAGAUGGAUCCGCGUCUGAUUAGCCAGUUGGCGGGGUAACGGCCCACCAAAGCGACGAUCAGUAGCCGACCUGAGAGGGUGACCGGCCACAUUGGGACUGAGACACGGCCCAAACUCCUACGGGAGGCAGCAGUGGGGAAUAUUGCACAAUGGGCGAAAGCCUGAUGCAGCGACGCCGCGUGAGUGAAGAAGUAUUUCGGUAUGUAAAGCUCUAUCAGCAGGGAAGAAAAUGACGGUACCUGACUAAGAAGCCCCGGCUAACUACGUGCCAGCAGCCGCGGUAAUACGUAGGGGGCAAGCGUUAUCCGGAUUUACUGGGUGUAAAGGGAGCGUAGACGGCGAAGCAAGUCUGAAGUGAAAACCCAGGGCUCAACCCUGGGACUGCUUUGGAAACUGUUUUGCUAGAGUGUCGGAGAGGUAAGUGGAAUUCCUAGUGUAGCGGUGAAAUGCGUAGAUAUUAGGAGGACACCAGUGGCGAAGGCGGCUUACUGGACGAUAACUGACGUUGA